UGGGUGGUAGCUUAGUGGUAUAGCACUUACCUAGCAAGUGUGAGGCACUGGGUUCAAUCCUCUGGACCAAUUAA
This 74-nucleotide transfer RNA is filed under the name Marmota monax (woodchuck). RNAcentral describes it as "tRNA.Ala". Lineage: Eukaryota; Metazoa; Chordata; Mammalia; Rodentia; Sciuridae. The record is from RNAcentral.